ACACAUGCAAGUCGAGGGGCAGCGCGGGAUAGCAAUAUCCUGGCGGCGACCGGCGGAAGGGUGCGUAACGCGUGAGCGACAUGCCCGUUGCCCGGGGACAACCGGUGGAAACGCCGACUAAUCCCCGAUGGGAUAUUGUGCCGCAUGGCACGAUAUUGAAAGUUACGGCGGCGACGGAUUGGCUCGCGUCCGAUUAGCUUGUUGGCGGGGUAACGGCCCACCAAGGCUACGAUCGGUAGGGGUUCUGAGAGGAAGGCCCCCCACAAUGGGACUGAGACACGGCCCAUACUCCUACGGGAGGCAGCAGUGAGGAAUAUUGGUCAAUGGGCGGAAGCCUGAACCAGCCAUGCCGCGUGCGGGAAGGAGGCCCUAUGGGCUGUGAACCGCUUUUGCCUGGGGGCAAUAAGGGCGUCGCGCACGCCCGACGAGAGUACCAGGCGAAUAAGCAUCGGCUAACUCCGUGCCAGCAGCCGCGGUAAUACGGGGGAUGCGAGCGUUAUCCGGAUUCAUUGGGUUUAAAGGGUGCGUAGGCUGUGCGUCAAGUCGGGGGUGAAAUUCCGGUGCUCAACACCGGGGCUGCCCUUGAUACUGUCGCGCUGGAGUGCGGAUGCCGCCGGAGGAAUGAGUGGUGUAGCGGUGAAAUGCUUAGAUAUCACUCAGAACACCGAUUGCGAAGGCAUCUGGCGAAUCCGUAACUGACGCUGAGGCACGAAAGCGUGGGGAUAGAACAGGAUUAGAUACCCUGGUAUUCCACGCCGUAAACGAUGAUGGCUAACCGCCGGCGACACACUGUCGGUGGCCAAG
RNAcentral lists this ribosomal RNA (804 nucleotides) under uncultured bacterium. Its description in RNAcentral is "bacterial SSU rRNA". It matches the Rfam family "Bacterial small subunit ribosomal RNA", at positions 51 to 851 of the family's 1533-position model. The record is from RNAcentral.